Molecule: ribosomal RNA, 460 nt
Filed under: uncultured bacterium
Lineage: Bacteria
Description: partial 16S ribosomal RNA
Rfam family: Bacterial small subunit ribosomal RNA
Source: RNAcentral
CCUACGGGAGGCAGCAGUGAGGAAUAUUGGUCAAUGGACGAGAGUCUGAACCAGCCAAGUCGCGUGAAGGAUGACUGCCCUAUGGGUUGUAAACUUCUUUUAUAUGGGAAUAAAAUGUUCCACGUGUGGGAUUUUGUAUGUACCAUAUGAAUAAGGAUCGGCGAACUCCGUGCCAGCAGCCGCGGUAAUACGGAGGAUCCGAGCGUUAUCCGGAUUUAUUUGGUUUUAAGGGAGCGUAGGUGGAUUGUUAAGGCAGUUGUGAAAGUUUGGGGCUCAACCGUAAAAUUGCAGUUGAAACUGGCAGUCUGGAGUACAGUAGAGGUGGGCGGAAUUCGUGGUGUAGCAGUGAAAUGCUUAGAUAUCACGAAGAACUCCGAUUGCGAAGGCAGCUCACUGGACUGCAACUGACACUGAGGCUCGAAAGUGUGGGUAUCAAACAGGAUUAGAUACCCCUGUAGUC